This 1794-nucleotide long non-coding RNA is filed under the name Ananas comosus (pineapple). RNAcentral describes it as "long non-coding RNA (ACOM_LNC007677)". Lineage: Eukaryota; Viridiplantae; Streptophyta; Magnoliopsida; Poales; Bromeliaceae. The record is from RNAcentral.
UAUGUAGCUGGAUCGCCAAUCAGUAGUGUUUGAAAUUUGCUUUGAUACAUCAUUUGCAAUCACCUUUCUCCCAGUUCGGUGAUUUUGGAUUUGAAAGUUUUAACAAAAUUAGGUGCAAACGCAUUCAUCAAUGAGAGUUCAAUUAUUUAUGGUUUUUGAUAAAACUUUUCAACAAGAGCUGGUUGGAAACAGAUUCUCAAGUGAGAAAUGUGUAGAUUUUGGGCAUAAAUGGAAGAGAAUUUAAACCAUUUUGGAAAGUGCGCUUAUAUUAAACGUCGACAUCAUUUCUUUUGGAGAACCUAUAAUAUGUGGAUUCAAGAACUAACUUUAUUUUGUUGUUUACUAGAUAUCAUGAAGAAAUUUUUGUUAUUUUUCUUUAAGUCAGUUGGAGCAGUGCAUUUAUACCACCGUGAUAUGGUCACAACUCAUUGUCAUGCUUAUUAGAUGUUACAGUUGAUUUGCCAAUUGCCCUGGAUAGACAGCUUUGGGAGUGCCUGUACAUCUAUUAAGAAGUUUCAGAGUAUUGAUUGUUUAAGUCUUGUAGCACCCCAAGGAUAAUUCUAGUUGGAAGUGCACCAGAUAUCAAAUUUUUCGGUCAGAUCCUGUUGAUAAGCUUGGCUAUUUUUGGAUGCUCUGAUGCAGACCGAAUAAAUUAGACUGUUAUUUGGAUUCUCUAAUUUUAAUUUACUGUAUAUUUGUGUAAUCAGGUGGUACAACAUAGAGAAAGGCAAGAAAAAAAAACAAAUCUUAAGUAGUGAGGGAGAAGUAAUUAAGUGAGAGCAGAUGGCCAAUCUAGAUUCUAGGCAUAAGAGGAAAGUAGUAGACAGAGACGGACAAAAAGAAGAAACAAGUUUUAUUAAUUAAAUCUCAUCGUACAUCAACCUUAGUCGCGGACAAAAAGAAGAAACAAGUUUUUUUAAGUGAGAGCAGAUGGCCAAUCUAGAUUCUAGGCAUAAGAGGAAAGUAGUAGACAGGGACGGACAAAAAGAAGAAACAAGUUUUAUUAAUUAAAUCUCAUCGUACAUCAACCUUAGUCGCGGAUCCCUACUUUUCUCUUCUAUAUAAGCAGUAUCAAGUUGGCCCAAAGUAAGUUUUUGGUUAUCCAUGAACAUUCCUAAUGGAUGUACUAUCAUAGGAGUCUUUUUUUUUUUCAAUAAAAUUUGUUAUCUUCCAUUGAGCCCUGACAUUUCUAGAGUCUAGAAUUGUUGGGAGAUAAUUGGAGUGAAUUUCCUUGUUGGUCCUUUGAUGCUCUUCACCGCAACGAGAUUUUCUGAGAAAACCCAACACUACUUAUUUUCCGUAGAGUGACCUUCCUUAUCUUAGCUGUAAUUUUAAGUGUAGCUGGGACUGAACAAUUAGAACUUUAAUGUCUGUCAUUAAUGGCACCUGUUCUAAAUUCUCUUACUAUUUCUAAGAGGGAAAAUUAGAAAAUAAGUAUAAAGUUUUAAUUGGAGAUAAUUUGUUAGUUCCAGAUGACAUUUUGUAAGUUACUACUGCUUAAUGUUACAUAUGACUGGUUUUGAUGGUUGCUAAAAUGUCAUGGGAAUAAUAUGCCCUUUUUUUUCUUACUCUGUAUAGCACCAAUUAGUUUGAUUACGCUUCUUUAGGUUAUGUCUCAAACUAUAGCAACUACCAUUCUGUUCUUUUUAAAAGCAGAUUUUUCAUCUGUUUCAAGAAAGGAACAUAGCAAACAAGAAAUGAUUCAUAAAUCCAAUUUGUUUGCAAAGUUAAGAUUUUUUUUUAGAUGUUGAGGUUGGAAAUAAGCAUGGAUAAUUCAAUAUAAUCUUAUGAUAG